Molecule: long non-coding RNA, 3239 nt
Filed under: Homo sapiens (human)
Lineage: Eukaryota; Metazoa; Chordata; Mammalia; Primates; Hominidae
Description: HSALNT0280334
Source: RNAcentral
UUUGCUGCACCCAUCAACCCGUCAUCUACAUUAGGUAUUUCUCCUAAUGCUAUCCCUCCUGUAGCCCCCCACCCCCUGACAGGCCCCGGUGUGUGAUGUUCCCCUCUUUCUGCCCAUGUGUUCUCAUUGUUCAACUCCCACUUAUGAGUGAGAACAUGUGGUGUUUGGUUUUAUGUUCCUGUGUUAGUUUGCUGAGAAUGAUGGUUUCCAGAUUCAUCCAUGUCCCUGCAAAGGACAUGAACUCAUUCUUUUUUAUGGCUGCGUAGUAUUCCAUGGUGCAUAUGUGCCACAUUUUCUUUAUCCAGUCUAUCAUUGAUGGGCAUUUGGGUUGGUUCCAAGUCUUUGCUAUUGUGAAUAUUGCUGCAAUAAACAUACGUGUGCAUGUGUCUUUAUAGUAGAAUGAUUUAUAAUCCUUUGGGUAUACACCCAGCAAUGGGAUGGCUGGGUCAAAUGGUAUUUCUGGUUCUAGAUCCUUGAGGAAUAAUCAAAACCACAAUUAGAUACCAUCUCACGCCAGUUAAAUUAGUCCUCUUUAUAUUUUAAGAAAACAUUUGUUUUGCCCUGUGAGUGUUGUUGGAUUGCACAUAUUCAGAUUAUCAUGAGAUAUUCCCAUCUGCUGUAGUAAACGUGGAAAUUUUGAAGGUGUCUGACAAUAGUUUUGGUCCUGGAGUACUAAAAGUAUCCAGAUAGAGUUCAUGUUUUCCAUAGUGAUAAAUGCAACCAAAGCUAUUAGCAAGUUGUACUGCUAGAACAUGUUACGUGUUUUUUACACAUAUGUCAUAAUAUGUUUUUCAGAUUCCUGGAAGAAAUCCCAAUGAACAGGGGUCAUUAUCAGGCCACAUUUCUGGUAUCUGUGGUAAGUAAUGAUGUUCACUUUAACCCCAUCACAGACCAUUUGAUCUUCAUAUAUCUAGGUAAGUGAUGUCUGUUUACGUGAACUGUUUAUCAUGUGCUUUUAUAACAGUGAUUUUUGUAAGUAAUGACAGUAUUUCUAGUUCUAGUGACCAUGUUAUAUUGUUUUUAAUUUAGAGAAAACUUAUGGUUUACGCUGUGAGUAUCAAAUGAUUUGCGUGUACACAGAUAACAACGUGGUGUGCUUCAUAGUAGUAACUGUGGUAUCCUUGCAGAUAGGUAGUCAAGAAAAAAUGGUGUGUCCUUCAAGGUUGUAGACCUUGGGAAUACUGCAAAAUUCCAUGUAGAUUUAUGUCUUCUGCAAUGAUGACAGCCAACAAGUUAUUUGCAGGGUUCUGGUGGAAGAGUUGUGUCCACAGACACAUUUGUCAUAAUGUGGUUUCAGGUUCCUCUCAAGGGGUCAUGGGAAACCUCAUCAUGAUCAACAAUGGGACAUUGCUGGUAUCCAAGCCAAUUAUGAUGUGGGCCUUAAACACCCUACAAAAAUGUGAUCUACAGAAAUGUGUCCUGUCAAGAAAUGACCGUCUUACCUGACAGUGGUAUUGAUCUUGCAUUAUUACAAGUAUCCAGGUAGAGUUUAUGUGUUCUGUAAUGAUGGAGUGACGAAGGUUAUUUUCAGAUGUCUUGGUGGAAAUGUUUGUGUCCUUUAACACAUAUUUCACAAUGUGUAUUUCAGGUUUCUGUAGUGAGACCCUGAUAAACCUAACAAUGGUUGGUAUGGCAGACAUUUCUGGUAUGCAGGCAAGUGAUGAUGUGUUCUUUAACCACAUCAUAGACCAUCAGAUCUUCUUAUAUCUUUUUUUUUUUUUUUUUUGACAGAGUCUCGCUUUGUCACCCAGGCUGGAGUGCAGUGGGGUGAUCUCGGCUCACUGCAGCCUCCACCUCCCAGGUUCAAGCGAUUCUCGUGCCUCUGCAUCCUGAAUAGCUGGGAUUACAGGUGUGCACCACCACAUCCUGCUGAUUUUUGUAUUUUGAGAGAUGGGGUUUUGGCACGUUGGCCAAGCUGGUCUCGAACUCCUGGCUUCAAGCAGUCCACCCACCUUGGCCUCCCAAAGUGCUGGAAUUACAGGCGUGCACCACCACGCCCGGCCAGAUCUUCAUAUAUCUAAGAUCCUGUCAAGAAGACAUGGUAAACCUCAUCAUGAUCAAGAAUGAGACUUUGCUUGCAUCCAGGCUUCCCAAAAGUUGUUUGAUAGUAUACAGGCAUGAGAUGGUGUGACUCUAACUCAUUAGAUGCCUUCGUCUUUUCAGUCAUCAUGUGAUGGAAAGAAAGCUAUCAACUUCAUUCCUGAGACUUCCUGCAACACAGAUCCAUCUAAACUUUUACUUCAUUGGAGGGUCCUUCCUGACCCAUGCAACUCAACAAAAAACUCUCACAGUUUUUAUAUGCUUUGUUGGGGAUUAACCCAUCUUGCAUUGCAUUGCUAGCUUAGUAUGUCUAGCAUGGGCAUGCCUGCUGAAGUUUGGAACUUCCCAUCAAGGAAACAGGAAAAUGCCAUUGGCAAUGAGCUGAAGACUGAUUUACUCUACCAGUUUGGAACAUCUGUUAUUGCUGCUACUACGGUUUCUAUCACUGUUUGAUGCUGGGACUCUUAAGCUCCAACCACGUUUUCACCGAGCUGAGUCGCCUUCUUAUCACCCCUUUCUGGAGCAGCAGGACAUCUGGGGAUGAGAAGAUGGAGAGAUCAUCCUUAUAUAAUGUUGCAGUCUGGAAGCAUCACUCUCAAAAAGCCAUUGUAGAGAAUCCAAGCCGAGUUUAAGAGUGCUGUGGAAAUACACUGCUGCUACUGCUGUUUCUAUUACUGUUUGAUGCUGGGACUCUUAUGCUCCAACCACGUUUUCACCCAGCUGAGUCGCCUUCGUAUCACGCCUUUCCAGUUUUGAUAGACUAGAAAAAUGACAAGACUCCAAGUCCUUGAAGAGGAGGAAAAGUGUGAAGAAAACAAAAAAGGGAGAUUUAUGUCUGCUUCACCAUUUUGCCCAAGACUUGACCUGUCAUACACUGAAGCUCAGAGAGGAAGAAAGGACCGUGUGAGAGAAGAAGGGAACAGCCUUUCAUCCAUAGGAGAAGUUCGUCUAUGACAAAGCCACUAGCUCCAUGUGGCCGCUGAGCACUCAAAAUGUGGCCAGUCUGAAUUGAGAUAUGUUGUUAGUAUAAAGUCCACAUCGGCUUUUUGAGCACUUUGUAUGAGAAAAAAGAAUACCAAAUAUCUCCUUAAUAAUUGUUACAUUGAUUAUAUGUUGAACUGAUAACAUUAUGGAUAUAUUGGAUUAAAUAAAAUAAAUUAUUAAAAUCAAAUAAAAAAUAAAAUCAAUUUCACCUGUUU